GACGAACGCUGGCGGCGUGCUUAAUACAUGCAAGUCAACGACUUUUAGAGUAGCAAUAUUUUAAAGGGAGUGGCGCACGGGUGAGUAACACGUAGGUAAUCUGCCUUCAGGACUGACACAACUCGUCGAAAGACGGGCUAAUAUCAGAUAAUGCAGCGGCUCCGCAUGGAGACAGUUGUUAAAGUACAAGCGCCUGAAGAUGAGCCUGCGGUCCAUUAGCUAGUUGGUAGAGUAACAGCCUACCAAGGCAACGAUGGAUAGCUGGUCUGAGAGGAUGAUCAGCCACACUGGAACUGAGACACGGUCCAGACUCCUACGGGAGGCAGCAGUAAGGAAUAUUGCUCAAUGGCCGAAAGGCUGAAGCAGCAACGCCGCGUGAAGGAUGAAUGGCCUUUGGCCUGUAAACUUCUGUAAAAGGGAAAACAGUCAGGCAUGUCCUGAUUUGAUUGUACCUUUGAAGUAAGCCCCGGCUAACUACG
RNAcentral lists this ribosomal RNA (479 nucleotides) under uncultured bacterium. RNAcentral describes it as "bacterial SSU rRNA". It matches the Rfam family "Bacterial small subunit ribosomal RNA", at positions 28 to 505 of the family's 1533-position model. The record is from RNAcentral.